RNAcentral lists this transfer RNA (84 nucleotides) under Candidatus Helarchaeota archaeon. RNAcentral describes it as "tRNA-Trp". It matches the Rfam family "tRNA". Rfam says of the family: Transfer RNA (tRNA) molecules are approximately 80 nucleotides in length. Their secondary structure includes four short double-helical elements and three loops (D, anti-codon, and T loops). The record is from RNAcentral. Lineage: Archaea; Promethearchaeati; Candidatus Helarchaeota.
GGGGCUGUAAUCUAGAGGCUAUGAUGCUGGGCUCCAGACCCAGGGAACGCCUUUUUUUCAGGGGUUCGAGUCCCCUCAGCCCCA